UGGGGAAUAUUGCACAAUGGGCGCAAGCCUGAUGCAGCAACGCCGCGUGAGGGACGACGGCCUUCGGGUUGUAAACCUCUUUUAGUAGGGAAGAAGCGAAAGUGACGGUACCUGCAGAAAAAGCACCGGCUAACUACGUGCCAGCAGCCGCGGUAAUACGUAGGGUGCGAGCGUUGUCCGGAAUUAUUGGGCGUAAAGAGCUCGUAGGCGGUCUGUCGCGUCUGCUGUGAAAACCCGAGGCUCAACCUCGGGCCUGCAGUGGGUACGGGCAGACUAGAUGCGGUAGGGGAGAAUGGAAUUCCUGGUGUAGCGGUGGAAUGCGCAGAUAUCAGGAGGAACACCGAUGGCGAAGGCAGUUCUCUGGGCCGUAACUGACGCUGAGGAGCGAAAGCGUGGGGAGCGAACAGGAUUAGAUACCCUGGUAGUCCACGCCGUAAAACGUUGGGCGCUAGAUGUGGGGGACCAUUCCACGGUUUCCGUGUCGCAGCUAACGCAUUAAGCGCCCCGCCUGGGGAGUACGGCCGCAAGGCUAAAACUCAAAUGAAUUGACGGGGUCAUAGCUGUUUCCU
RNAcentral lists this ribosomal RNA (569 nucleotides) under uncultured bacterium. Its description in RNAcentral is "partial 16S ribosomal RNA". It matches the Rfam family "Bacterial small subunit ribosomal RNA", at positions 355 to 1375 of the family's 1533-position model. The record is from RNAcentral.